Non-coding RNA from Vicia faba (fava bean), 291 nucleotides. The record is from the annotation of a GenBank genome assembly. NCBI's taxonomy places the organism in Eukaryota, Viridiplantae, Streptophyta, Magnoliopsida, Fabales, Fabaceae.
AUGGAUAAGAAACAAGAGGAAUUCGAGGAGAAAAAGAAUAAGAGAAAGAUAACUCAUCAAAGAGGAAAGAAACAAGAUUCAUCAUCAUCAAUAUUGAGUUCAAAGAGUAUAGUGGAAAAGAAGAUGAAAGAAUUGGAAAUGUUGGAGAUGAGUAAUAUGGAUUAUAUAUUAGACAUUGAAGAGGUUCUUCAUUACUAUACUAGACUCACUUGUCCUUCAUAUGUUGAAAUUGUUGAUAAAUUCUUCAUGGAAAUGUAUUCUGAGUUCUUGGAUUCUCCAAAGAAGAUGUGA